This 301-nucleotide ribosomal RNA is filed under the name uncultured bacterium. RNAcentral describes it as "partial 16S ribosomal RNA". It matches the Rfam family "Bacterial small subunit ribosomal RNA", at positions 509 to 807 of the family's 1533-position model. The record is from RNAcentral.
CAGUCGCCACGGUAAUACGUAGGUGGCAAGCGUUGUCCGGAAUUAUUGGGCGUAAAGGGCAUGCAGGCGGUCGUGCAAGCCCGGCGUGAAAGACGGGGGCUCAACUCCCGAAGUGCGCUGGGAACUGCAGGGCUUGAGUUUCUGAAGGGCAGCCGGAAUUCCACGUGUAGGGGUGAAAUCUGUAGGUAUGUGGAAGAACACCAAUGGCGAAGGCAGGCUGCCGGCAGAGGACUGACGCUGAGGUGCGAAGGUGCGGGGAGCAAACAGGAUUAGAUACCCCCGUAGUCCCUGUCUCUUAUAC